RNAcentral lists this transfer RNA (72 nucleotides) under Bos taurus (domestic cattle). It matches the Rfam family "tRNA". Rfam says of the family: Transfer RNA (tRNA) molecules are approximately 80 nucleotides in length. Their secondary structure includes four short double-helical elements and three loops (D, anti-codon, and T loops). RNAcentral also lists the same sequence under 4 other names. Lineage: Eukaryota; Metazoa; Chordata; Mammalia; Artiodactyla; Bovidae. The record is from Rfam by way of RNAcentral.
UCCCUGGUGGCUCAGAUGGUAAAGUGUCUGCCUGCAAUGCAGAAGACCUAGGUUUGAUCCCUGGGUCGGGAA